This 1131-nucleotide ribosomal RNA is filed under the name Triticum aestivum (bread wheat). RNAcentral's name for it is "partial small subunit ribosomal RNA". The record is from RNAcentral. Lineage: Eukaryota; Viridiplantae; Streptophyta; Magnoliopsida; Poales; Poaceae.
AUGUCAGAUAGUGCAUUGCAAGAUCUCAAUGCUGCUCAAUCUGUUGUGCUGGAGAAAAGCAAAGACAGUUCUGUGGAACCCUGCAGUUCUAAGCCUGUCUUAAACGGGAACAAAUGUGUCAAGAAGGAAGGAAAUGCUGUACCUGCAUGUCCUGAUGUAACCAAUGGAUGCGAUGCUGUAGUUGUAGAUGUUGAAUAUAUUGAUUCUGAGAAUCUCACGGAUCUUCCAGAUGUUGACACAAGCCUGAGUACUUUGCUUGCUAGGUUGGAUUCAAAGGAUUGGAUCAAGACAUGUGAAGCUCUUAAUAAUGUUCGUCAGUUGGCAAUAUAUCACAAGCAAAGGUUGCAGGAGCUGCUGGAGCCUCUAGUUCCUCUUAUUGUGAAAUCUGUUAAGAAUCCAAGGAGUGCUCUAUGUAAAACUGCACUUAUGACCUGCGCUGACAUCUUUAAGGCAUACGGUGAACAAAUGGUCGACUUGAUUGAUCUGCUGCUAAUGCCGCUAUUUCUGAAAUCUUCACAAGACAAGCGCUUUGUUUGUGAAGCAGCUGAGGCAGCCCUUAUAUCAAUGACAAGCUGGAUCUCCCCCUCUGUAUUGUUACCAAAAAUGCAGCCCUACCUCAAGAACAGGAAUCCACGAAUUCGAGCAAAAGCAUCUGUUUGUUUCAGUAAGAGUGUACCACGCCUUUACCUUCUUCUUUCUACCCAGGGUCUGGAGGGAAUCAAAGAAUACGGAAUGGACAAGCUCAUUCAGGUCGCAGCAACCCAGCUCAGCGACCAGCUUCCUGAAUCAAGGGAGGCUGCUCGUAACCUUUCACUGGAGCUACAAGCAUUCUAUGAGAAGUCUCAAGCCUCUGGUUCAGCCGAAGAUGAAAGUGCACCUGCUAUUUCACCAGAAGCUGAAACCUGGGAGGCUUUCUGUCUAUCUAAGCUUUCCACGUUAAGCGCCCAAGCAAUCCUCCGUGUCACUGUGGGUGUCCCCGUUGCCCCGAAAGAAGGCGGCAUCUCUGCUGCUCUGAAAGAAGGCGCCGUCCCUGCUGCCAUGAAAGAAGGCGGCAUCUCUGUUGUUGUUGCUCCAAAAGAAGGUGGCGUCCCUGUUGCUACGAAAGAAGGUGCUGCGGCCGUGGGCUGCUAG